UGGGGAAUUUUGGGACAAUGGGCGCAAGCCUGAUCCAGCCAUGCCGCGUGCGGGAAGAAGGCCUUCGGGUUGUAAACCGCUUUUGUCAGGGAAGAAAUCUUCNGAGUUAAUACCUCGGGAGGAUGACGGUACCUGAAGAAUAAGCACCGGCUAACUACGUGCCAGCAGCCGCGGUAAUACGUAGGGUGCAAGCGUUAAUCGGAAUACUGGGCGUAAAGCGUGCGCAGGCGGUUUUGUAAGACAGAGGUGAAAUCCCCGGCGUCAACCUGGGAACUGCCUUUGUGACUGCAAGGCUUGAGUGCGGCAGAGGGGGAUGGAAUUCCGCGUGUAGCAGUGAAAUGCGUAGAUAUGCGGAGGAACACCGAUGGCGAAGGCAAUCCCCUGGGCCUGCACUGACGCUCAUGCACGAAGCGUGGGGAGCAAACAGGAUUAGAUACCCUGGUAGUCCACGCCCUAAACGAUGUCAACUGGUUGUUGGGAAGGUUCCUUCUCAGUAACGUAGCUAACGCGUGAAGUUGACCGCCUGGGGAGUACGGCCGC
RNAcentral lists this ribosomal RNA (540 nucleotides) under uncultured bacterium. RNAcentral describes it as "partial 16S ribosomal RNA". It matches the Rfam family "Bacterial small subunit ribosomal RNA", at positions 355 to 889 of the family's 1533-position model. The record is from RNAcentral.